RNAcentral lists this ribosomal RNA (273 nucleotides) under uncultured bacterium. RNAcentral's name for it is "partial 16S ribosomal RNA". It matches the Rfam family "Bacterial small subunit ribosomal RNA", at positions 524 to 796 of the family's 1533-position model. The record is from RNAcentral.
UACGAAGGGGGCUAGCGUUGUUCGGAAUUACUGGGCGUAAAGCGCACGUAGGCGGAUUGGUCAGUUAGAGGUGAAAUCCCGGAGCUCAACUCCGGAACUGCCUUUAAUACUGCCAAUCUAGAGACCGAGAGAGGUAAGUGGAACUCCUAGUGUAGAGGUGGAAUUCGUAGAUAUUAGGAAGAACACCAGUGGCGAAGGCGGCUUACUGGCUCGGAACUGACGCUGAGGUGCGAAAGCGUGGGGAGCAAACAGGAUUAGAUACCCCGGUAGUCC